RNAcentral lists this unclassified non-coding RNA (4570 nucleotides) under Leishmania donovani. RNAcentral describes it as "gene:LdHU3.20.1770(CDS-product:pumilio_protein_9_ putative)". Lineage: Eukaryota; Euglenozoa; Kinetoplastea; Trypanosomatida; Trypanosomatidae. The record is from RNAcentral.
ACAGCACGCCCUCGCUAAAGACGCACUCGCAGCCGCACACAAACGUGUUGAAGCACGCAUACCGCAUCACCCUUUCUCGCAACCAUUUACCCGUACACACACACACACACACACACACACACAAGCGUGCAUGCUUACAUCAUUCGUUCUUUACGUUAGACCCCCCUUCCCUCCAUAACUCUCUUCACGACUUCACUGCAUCUCUUAUGUUCUCUUUGGUGCCUUCUUAGACCGCACACAUUCCAUCUGUCUGCCUCCACCUCUGCCUGUUUCCUUUUUAGACGCACACGCGUGCCACGCUCUCUUCGCUUCUCAUUCCUCCCCUCCCCCUCUUGCUCUGUUUCUUUUCGUUUUCACGGUCGUGCUGCUACGUGGGUCUUUGAGUGUGUGUGCGUGUGUGCGUGCGUGUGCGUGGCUACGCGCGAGGGCAUCGAAUUAGAGAGUCCCACAAGGUAGCCAGCGCACAAACAGACAGAUACACAGACACACGAGUAGUACAGCCGGCGUCAGGUAAGCCUCCGCCCCUCCCCGCCUCUUUCUCUCAAUCAUCCUCGUCAUCUUUUUACGUAAUUCCUUCUACGGCAUUCUCGGCAGACAGGCGAGAAUCUACACACGCACCCACAAAGAGAGAGAGAGCGAAGCAACGCUCAACACUGCCAUUGCGGUUUCGCACCACCAGCAUCCCCGCCCUCCCGCCGCUCUCGCUCUCUUUUUCUAUCUUCACCCUCUUCAUUCUCUUUUACUUGUGUCUUCCAUAGACUAGAUACCCAACCCCUCCUUCCUCACGAGCACCACCACAUCUCUCUGUCUCUCCCUCUCUCGACCUUCGCUCUCAUUGUGCGCGCUUGUUUUCCUGUCCUUCGCCUUUUGUCUUGUCGUCUUUACUCUUCGCUCCUCACUAGACUCUUCUCUCGUUGCCUCAUCACCGUUUCCACCCCACCCCCACCGCCACACACCCUCGACACACAUACGCCAGCAGCUCUUCACACCCUCGCCGCCACCCUCCUCCGCUUUCUUUGCGCCAUUGUUGCUGUGACAGCUGCUUGCGGCUCACGGAUCUCCCUCGUCUCCCUUCCUCGCCGGUCGCGGGCAUGUCGUCUUCUGCUGGACUUCGCGACCUGGGCCGCAACCAGACAACGGCGCAGCGCGCCAUGGUGGCUCGAAAGGGCGCAGCACCGCCGCUGCACCGCAACGCUGGCCGGUCUGCUGCCGCUGCGACGUUUGUGCGGCCGCCGCGCGCCUCGCCGGCUGCUGUGCCCGCGCCCGCGAGCUGCGGCACUGCGGGGCCGCUGGAACAGGCCUCUCCUGCUGCUGCUGCCGUGCCGUGCGCGCGUGGUGCUGGACUGCCGACGGUGAGCGCGGUGCCGGUGCUGUCGCUGGACUGCGAGGCGGAGCGCGGCUGCGCUGGCGUGGCGCCUGCGACGGUGGCCGCCACGGUGGCGCCCGCAGUGCACGUGGCGGCGCCGGUGUGCGGGACGCGCAGGCUUUCGGCGAUGCCUGCUGCCGCGCUGGUGGAGGCGUUCAGGGCGACGUGCGAGGGGCACGUGGCGGACGUUGCGUGCACGCCGCAGGGCAAGGCGCUGCUGCAGGCGGCGCUGCGGACGCAGCGGCCGGAGGUGCUGGACUCUGUGGUGACGGAGCUGUGCCCACGGCUGCGCGACGUGGCGGUGGACGUGCACGGGUGCCACGUGCUGCGGACGCUGGUGGAGGCGUGCACUGCGGAGCAGACGGAGGCGCUGAUUGGCGCGAUGCACGCGUCGGUUGUGCUGAACAUGUGCACUGCGUCGCAGUACACGCGGCGCACGCUGCAGUCGCUGUUCGAGCGGCGCGAGGUGGACCUGUCUGCGCUUGUGCACGUGCUCGCGGACAACGCGGGGUACCUUGCGGCGACGCAGCAGGGGUGCAUCUCGCUGAUGCGCGUGUUCGAGCUGUGCGACGCGGCGCAGAAGGCGGAGCUGGUGCGCGAGCUGCUGCCGAAGUUGGCUGCGCUGUCGAUGGAUGCGUUUGCGAACUACAUGGUGCAGUGCGCGAUCGAGCACAGCGAUCGCACGACGGCCGCGCAGUACGUUGUGGCCCACUUCACCGGCAACAUAUUGCAGAUGAGCUGCAACAAGCACUCCAGCAACGUGCUGGAGGUUGUCCUGCGGUGCUGUGGCGAGGUCCCGGCGGUGCGGCGCCUUUUUCUGGACGAGCUGGUUUUCAACCCAGCCGCCCUGAAGGAGGUGGUGGGCGAUCUGUACGGGAACUUUGUGGUGCAGGCGCUGAUCGGCGUUGUGACGAACCCGAUGGAGUUCAAGCGCGUGGAGGACCGCCUGCGCCCCGCACUGGUGGGGUGCCAGUUCGCGGCGAAGAUCGAGGGGAAGAUCAAGGCGAAGCGUCCAGUCCCGCCCCACGCGGGCGGUGCGGUGCACCAUCAUCCCUACCCGCAGUCGCACCAGCAGCGGCCGCUUUCGGUGCCGUGCACCAUGCCUGACCAUGCUGGCCCCUGCGCGCCUAUCGUCAGAGCCACUAUACCGCUUUCACAGAUGCCGGUGAUGUCUGCCGGUGAGGCGCGCGUUCCGUCUCAAGGCUACUGUCACCGCCCCUACGACCGCAAUCCGCUAUGCUGCGUACCGCUGGCAGCUGAGCAGCAGCAACCGCAAAAGGUGGAGCAGGCGCCAUCUGAGCAUGUUUACCCUGCUGAUCACUUCCGGUUCCCAAUUCUCAAAGAGCGUACCGCUGCUCGCACCGCCGGCGCCGUCCCUGUAGCGGACGGGGCGGACAGCGGACCCGUGUACGGUCCCUCGCCGGCGGCACGCCGCCACCUUCAGCAGCAGCAGCAACAGGCGUUUUGCCCACCAUUCAACAUCAUGUGCUGAGUGUGUGCUGAGGAGACGUGCGCGAAGAGCUGCGCGCAGAGUGUGGUGACGAAGGUAGUCGGAGUGCCGGGGCAGUCGGUCGUUGCCAUCGCGGUAAGGCCUCGCUUCACCGACGAUGGUGCUGCCCCUGCUUCUCCGCCCCACCAUCCGACGCUGAUCCCGUCUCCUUGUGGGCGCGCAUGCUGUGGUGCUUGCUUCUGUGUUGCCAUGCGCGCUCCUGUGCUGGUGUGUGCGGGCGUUGCGAGAGGAGGGUAAAGCGUGAGCGGCGGCCGGGAGGGUGAGGAGGGGACGGUGACACGUGAGAUGGUCCGAGUCACCGUUGUGCCGCCGUCCGCGCCCUAGCCGCCUUCCUCUAUCUAGAGAGCGCCGACGCAUCAUGACUAGAUGGCCCUUCUCUUGCUUUUACCUGCUGAGUAGUGUGUGGCUUGCCGCCUUUUGUUGUGACGCAUGUCGUUGGUGCGCGCGUGAUGGAGUCUCACCUCGGUUGUGUGUGCGGAGACUGCACAGGGUGUCUGAAAGGACUCGAAAAAAGUAAGGGAAGGAGUAACAAGGGCGAGGACGCAGAGGAUGCAAGCUCAGGAAGAGGCACCGUGCCACCCACAGCGGGUGCACACACGGCCAGGCACACUAGUCGACCAACACACACACGCAUAACUUGUACGGCUCCCUCAUUGGACGUAAAAGGGAAGCAGGGGUCGCACGCGGGCGUCUGUGUAUCUGUCUGUCGUUGUGUACGCAGGAAGACACCCCCCCCCCCUCCGUGGCCGCCUCCCUCACCCUCGCCUCCUCCGUGACUGUCUCUUCGCAUCUUCUGUCCCUCUCACGCGCGCAUGCAUCCUUUCGCUUCUUUCUUUUUGUUCCCCCCCCCUCUCGUAUUUUGUGUGACAUGCCUCCUCGACUAUGUGUGUGGCCGGUGUGUGUCCUUGUUGGUUAGGGGAGGGAACACUCUUAGAUCCUUUCGUCUUGUUCCGUGGCCCCCCUCCUCCUCCAUUCUCUGUAGGGGGAGCUCUUCACUCUCUCUGCCUGUCCCUGUCUGCACGUGUGCGUGUGUGCGCGCGUUUCCUUUUUUGUUUUGUGCUCUAAACGGCGAAUGCGAACGAAGCAACGCAGGCGUUGGAAUCUCAAAAUAGAGAGGCAGAGCCGAGAAGACACCCACCCACACACACACACCCAAGGAAAGAGGAGACAUCAUGUCAGCAGGCGGUCAAGAAGAGACGCCGGGGGUGCGUGGAUGGGGCGCUGUGGUCCAGUCUGCACGGCGCCCGCUCGAAGUGCUCGCCGCACGGAAAUAAGUGAGGAGGGCAUUGACGAGCGGCGGGCAGAGAGGCAGGAAAGGUGGCGUAAGUGCCACACACGCACAUUUGUGUGCUCUCUCCUCCUGUCCUUGUUCGCUUCUCCAACCCGAAUGCGUGACAAGAAGGAGAACGGAGAGAAGGAGGUCGGGGUCGGAUGCGGGAGCAGGCAGCAGGCAGCAGCUCCCCCCCCCCCCCCCAUCUGUCUCCCUCCCUCCUCCCUUCUCUGCCAUGCUUCACGGCGUACCCUCUUUCGCGCUGCGCUAGCACCGGACAGGCACAAUGCGUAACAAGCGUCUGUGUGUGUGUGCGUGCCUGUGCAGGGGAGAGGGGGGCCGCUGUCUUGAGCCUUCCACUGUACUAUCUGACUCGUUGACUCUCUCUCUCUUUUUCCUCGUUCUCCACCCAAAUGAUGUUCAG